Molecule: ribosomal RNA, 844 nt
Filed under: uncultured bacterium
Lineage: Bacteria
Description: bacterial SSU rRNA
Rfam family: Bacterial small subunit ribosomal RNA
Source: RNAcentral
AGGAUGAACGCUGGCGGCGUGCCUAACACAUGCAAGUCGAGCGAUUCUCUUCGGAGAAGAGCGGCGGACGGGUGAGUAACGCGUGGGUAACCUGCCCUGUACACACGGAUAACAUACCGAAAGGUAUGCUAAUACGAGAUAAUAUACUUUUAUCGCAUGGUAGAAGUAUCAAAGCUCCGGCGGUACAGGAUGGACCCGCGUCUGAUUAGCUAGUUGGUAAGGUAACGGCUUACCAAGGCGACGAUCAGUAGCCGACCUGAGAGGGUGAUCGGCCACAUUGGAACUGAGACACGGUCCAAACUCCUACGGGAGGCAGUAGUGGGGAAUAUCGCACAAUGGGCGAAAGCCUGAUGCAGCAACGCCGCGUGAGCGAUGAAGGCCUUCGGGUCGUAAAGCUCUGUCCUCAAGGAAGAUAAUGACGGUACUUGAGGAGGAAGCCCCGGCUAACUACGUGCCAGCAGCCGCGGUAAUACGUAGGGGGCUAGCGUUAUCCGGAAUUACUGGGCGUAAAGGGUGCGUAGGUGGUUUCUUAAGUCAGAGGUGAAAGGCUACGGCUCAACCGUAGUAAGCCUUUGAAACUGGGAAACUUGAGUGCAGGAGAGGAGAGUGGAAUUCCUAGUGUAGCGGUGAAAUGCGUAGAUAUUAGGAGGAACACCAGUUGCGAAGGCGGCUCUCUGGACUGUAACUGACACUGAGGCACGAAAGCGUGGGGAGCAAACAGGAUUAGAUACCCUGGUAGUCCACGCCGUAAACGAUGAGUACUAGCUGUCGGAGGUUACCCCCUUCGGUGGCGCAGCUAACGCAUUAAGUACUCCGCCUGGGAAGUACGCUCGCAAGAGUGAAA